This 447-nucleotide ribosomal RNA is filed under the name uncultured bacterium. RNAcentral describes it as "bacterial SSU rRNA". It matches the Rfam family "Bacterial small subunit ribosomal RNA", at positions 355 to 825 of the family's 1533-position model. The record is from RNAcentral.
UGGGGAAUAUUGGACAAUGGGCGCAAGCCUGAUCCAGCCAUGCCGCGUGAACGAUGAAGGCCUUAGGGUUGUAAAGUUCUUUUGUCAGGGAAGAUAAUGACGGUACCUGAAGAAUAAGCACCGGCUAACUUCGUGCCAGCAGCCGCGGUAAUACGAAGGGUGCUAGCGUUGUUCGGAAUCACUGGGCGUAAAGCGCGCGUAGGCGGCGAUAUAAGUCAGAGGUGAAAGCCUGGAGCUCAACUCCAGAACUGCCUUUGAAACUAUAUUGCUAGAGUGUCGGAGGGGAUAGCGGAAUUGCUAAUGUAGAGGUGAAAUUCGUAGAUAUUAGCAGGAACACCGGUGGCGAAGGCGGCUAUCUGGACGACAACUGACGCUGAGGCGCGAAAGCGUGGGGAUCAAACAGGAUUAGAUACCCUUGUAGUCCCUGAGCGGGCUGGCAAGGCGCAU